Molecule: ribosomal RNA, 465 nt
Filed under: Vreelandella stevensii
Lineage: Bacteria; Pseudomonadati; Pseudomonadota; Gammaproteobacteria; Oceanospirillales; Halomonadaceae
Description: partial 16S ribosomal RNA
Rfam family: Bacterial small subunit ribosomal RNA
Source: RNAcentral
CCUACGGGUGGCUGCAGUGGGGAAUAUUGGACAAUGGGCGAAAGCCUGAUCCAGCCAUGCCGCGUGUGUGAAGAAGGCCUUCGGGUUGUAAAGCACUUUCAGUGGGGAAGAAAGCCUUGGGGCUAAUACCCUCGAGGAAGGACAUCACCCACAGAAGAAGCACCGGCUAACACCGUGCCAGCAGCCGCGGUAAUACGGAGGGUGCGAGCGUUAAUCGGAAUUACUGGGCGUAAAGCGCGCGUAGGCGGUCUGAUAAGCCGGUUGUGAAAGCCCCGGGCUCAACCUGGGAACGGCAUCCGGAACUGUCAGGCUAGAGUGCAGGAGAGGAAGGUAGAAUUCCCGGUGUAGCGGUGAAAUGCGUAGAGAUCGGGAGGAAUACCAGUGGCGAAGGCGGUCUUCUGGACUGACACUGACGCUGAGGUGCGAAAGCGUGGGUAGCAAACAGGAUUAGAUACCCUGGUAGUC